GUUGACCUCGGAUCGGGUA
RNAcentral lists this ribosomal RNA (19 nucleotides) under Schizothyrium emperorae. RNAcentral's name for it is "partial 28S ribosomal RNA". The record is from RNAcentral. Lineage: Eukaryota; Fungi; Ascomycota; Dothideomycetes; Mycosphaerellales; Schizothyriaceae.